AGAGUUUGAUCCUGGCUCAGGAUGAACGCUGGCGGCGUGCUUAACACAUGCAAGUCGAGCGAAGCAGUUAAGUUGAUUUCUUCGGAUUGAUUCUUAAUUGACUGAACGGCGGACGGGUGAGUAACGCGUGGGUGACCUGCCCCAUACCGGGGGAUAACAGCUGGAAACGGCUGCUAAUACCGCAUAAGCGCACAGAGCUGCAUGGCUCAGUGUGAAAAACUCCGGUGGUAUGGGAUGGGCCCGCGUCUGAUUAGGCAGUUGGCGGGGUAACGGCCCACCAAACCGACGAUCAGUAGCCGGCCUGAGAGGGCGACCGGCCACAUUGGGGCUGAGACACGGCCCAAACUCCUACGGGAGGCAGCAGUGGGGAAUAUUGCACAAUGGGGGAAACCCUGAUGCAGCGACGCCGCGUGAGCGAAGAAGUAUUUCGGUAUGUAAAGCUCUAUCAGCAGGGAAGAUAAUGACGGUACCUGACUAAGAAGCCCCGGCUAACUACGUGCCAGCAGCCGCGGUAAUACGUAGGGGGCAAGCGUUAUCCGGAUUUACUGGGUGUAAAGGGAGCGUAGACGGCAAGGCAAGUCUGAUGUGAAAACCCAGGGCUUAACCCUGGGACUGCAUUGGAAACUGUCUGGCUCGAGUGCCGGAGAGGUAAGCGGAAUUCCUAGUGUAGCGGUGAAAUGCGUAGGUAUUAGGAAGAACACCAGUGGCGAAGGCGGCUUACUGGACGGUAACUGACGUUGAGGCUCGAAAGCGUGGGGAGCAAACAGGAUUAGAUACCCUGGUAGUCCACGCCGUAAACGAUGA
Molecule: ribosomal RNA, 804 nt
Filed under: uncultured bacterium
Lineage: Bacteria
Description: bacterial SSU rRNA
Rfam family: Bacterial small subunit ribosomal RNA
Source: RNAcentral